UACGUAGGGCGCGAGCGUUGUCCGGAAUUAUUGGGCGUAAAGAGCUCGUAGGCGGCCUGUUGCGUCCGCUGUGAAAUCCCGGGGCUCAACCCCGGGCUUGCAGUGGAUACGGGCUGGCUAGAGGCAGGCAGGGGAGAACGGAAUUCCCGGUGUAGCGGUGAAAUGCGCAGAUAUCGGGAGGAACACCGGUGGCGAAGGCGGUUCUCUGGGCCUGUACUGACGCUGAGGAGCGAAAGCGUGGGGAGCGAAC
RNAcentral lists this ribosomal RNA (250 nucleotides) under uncultured bacterium. Its description in RNAcentral is "partial 16S ribosomal RNA". It matches the Rfam family "Bacterial small subunit ribosomal RNA", at positions 524 to 773 of the family's 1533-position model. The record is from RNAcentral.